GACGAACGCUGGCGGCGUGCUUAACACAUGCAAGUCGAACGGAAAGGCCCUGCUUUUGUGGGGUGCUCGAGUGGCGAACGGGUGAGUAACACGUGAGUAACCUGCCCUUGACUUUGGGAUAACUUCAGGAAACUGGGGCUAAUACCGGAUAGGAGCUCCUGCUGCAUGGUGGGGGUUGGAAAGUUUCGGCGGAUGGGGAUGGACUCGCGGCUUAUCAGCUUGUUGGUGGGGUAGUGGCUUACCAAGGCUUUGACGGGUAGCCGGCCUGGGAGGGUGACCGGCCACAUUGGGACUGAGAUAGGGCCCAGACUCCUACGGGAGGCAGCAGCGGGGAAUAUUGCACAAUGGGCGGAAGCCUGAGGCAGCAACGCCGCGUGCGGGAUGACGGCCUUCGGGUUGUAAACCGCUUUCGCCUGUGACGAAGCGUGAGUGACGGUAAUGGGUGAAGAAGCACCGGCUAACUACGUG
Molecule: ribosomal RNA, 468 nt
Filed under: uncultured bacterium
Lineage: Bacteria
Description: partial 16S ribosomal RNA
Rfam family: Bacterial small subunit ribosomal RNA
Source: RNAcentral